Molecule: long non-coding RNA, 544 nt
Organism: Triticum dicoccoides
Lineage: Eukaryota; Viridiplantae; Streptophyta; Magnoliopsida; Poales; Poaceae
Exons: 2
Source: RefSeq, a predicted model, not a curated record
GUCACUUCACACAAUUAUACACGAUUAAUUACAGUCAUCAAGUAGCAGCACCACAUGAAGAUGAUUGGGAAGAAGAUUAUGAAGCGCUCUUCCUCUUCUUCUUCCGUCACACUAGCUAUGGCAAUCAUGGCCAUCAUAUUCCUUUGCUGCUUCCUGCCAUGCUCGGUGGCCAUCCAAGUUCAUCCAGAUGGAGACCAUGAGGGAGUGGGUCCUCCAUCACCAAAACCCGGGUCUCCGUGGAAGAAAUUGCCGCCACCACACCGCAAGACCCUGCAGGCUGUUGCGAAUGCCCCUCCAUGCGUAUGGCGCACCACCGAUGCGAUGGCCAUCUCUCCAUAAAAGCAUGUACAAUCUUUUUUUAAGGAUAAUAAGGGAAGGAAAACCCUCUCGCACUUUAGUGUCAGUGUUAGUGUCUGAGUGAUUUUAUCAUUUUGCUUGACUCUUCCAUACAGUGUUAAAGGUCCUAGCUAGAGUCUAGCUAGCGCCCGUUGUUCAGAUGGAUGUAUCGUUUAUGGAGUUGGAUAAGAACCGUGAGGGGGCUGGA